RNAcentral lists this long non-coding RNA (1859 nucleotides) under Triticum aestivum (bread wheat). RNAcentral's name for it is "long non-coding RNA (TAES_LNC018696)". The stretch from base 584 to 670 matches the Rfam family "MIR1120/MIR1122 microRNA precursor family". The record is from RNAcentral. Lineage: Eukaryota; Viridiplantae; Streptophyta; Magnoliopsida; Poales; Poaceae.
CUUAUUUUCGCAUGGUUUAGAUCAGCAAAAACUAAAUGUUCAUGGGAAAUUAGUUACCUGGCACUACAAAGCACCACUUCCUGUAAACUAUAGCUCAAAAUCCAUACUUGACAACACAUCGCUAUAUGAUGCUGUCACUAAGAAUUUUACCAUGAGGGUCAAGCAUUAGCACUUUGAAAGUAAAUUUUCCAGAAACUGUUUAUGUGUCCCUCCUUUUCCGCGCCUCCACAUCCUUGCCCUGCCAAUCACACAAACGCAGAAGCCGAAACGGCGCCAUCAAAACCAGAAAUGUACAUGGGAGAAGGAUAUUCUGAUUAAAUGGAGUAAAAAUAAGAACAGGAUCCAAGGAAAACAAGCUAAAGCUUAACACCGAACGCCCCUGCUUGGCCAUACCAACAACUGAGUCAAGUAAGACAGAUUUCUAUAGAGCUUAUCGCGACCAGCACUACAUCUGCAGGCCCAAUCCUGUCUGUCACCACAUUCGUAACCAGGUCAGGAACUGCACCACAAAAUAAGGUGGCACGUGCACUAAACCUGGAAGCCAAGAAGACCAGAUUUAUCUUAAGAAGGUUUUUGAUAAAUGUUACUCCCUCCGUCCCAAAAUAUAAGAACGUUUUUGAUACUAGUGUAGUGUCAAAAAUGUUCUUAUAUUAUGGGACGGAGGGAGUAGGAAAGUAUCUUAGGCUUCCUUGUUCGUUGAAUUUUAGUUUGUCCUCAAAGGUACGUGGCCACCCUAAGCCUAUAGAGAAAAGGGGGCCUAUAUUAGGACAUUAUCAAUCAAUAAACAACAAAUUGCCCCAAGCUGAGAACUAAAAGCCUCUAGCAAGUGGCAACAGCCGGGGAGGAGCCCCGACAUGUGCCUGAGGGCAGGCCCUGUUAUCCCAUUCAAUCUGAUCGCAACCCCCAUUGCUAUAUCUAAGCCUACCAACAAGCACACGACACAGACAUGUAGCACCAUGGAUGUUUUCGACAAUCAUGAUAUAUUGAAGUGCCAACUGACAAGAGAUGGCAUGAACACAGCAGAACAUGUUGUUAACAUGUGCACGAAGCUAUAGAUCUUUGAGUCACUCAGGGGUGAAAACAGAUCAAAUUGGUUCUACCACAUUCAUGUCCGUAUUUGUUCACUAAACACUGAUGCGGUUACACAUACAGGUCAGACAAAGAAUUCAAAGGAAUACCUAUGUGAUUCAGUCGAAUUCAGACAUCCCUGUAAUGUAUGCAAUCAGUCAAGGCAAUAGGAUGCACUUAAUCAGUCGAGGAAACAGAAAUGGUCCCUAAAUCAAGAAAAAGAUCCUAACUGAUUUGACAUCUGAAAUAAAGCAGAUAAUACAACUCAAAAGGGAAAAACUAAACCGAAUUCGCACCCAUUUUUUCUUGUCACUCGCAAAUACAAUUUUGGACAGCAAAACUACCAUUCAACAGAAAUACCCAAACCAAAUUCUAAUCUGAUCAAAUUUGCAUGUAAUAUAAUUCGAAUAACCCAUGUUCAAUUACCAACUCGAACGCCCGUUGAUGGUGCACAACCACCACCUUCCUUCGUAGUUAGCUAGUAUAUGUUGAUAAUGAAGGGAGAAUACUAGAGAAAAGAAAACACUUACGGCAGAAUAUGCGGCAAUGUUUUGCUAAGUGUAGACAUUUGGAUGUGUUCACAUCAGGUAGUAUCUUUGCAGUGAUAUAGAGAAAAUAAUUACAUAUUAGAAGGGAGUAUCUGGGUAACGUAUGACUCACCUAUUCAUGUGUCUUCUUUGCAAGGGAGCGAAGGAACAUGAUGAGUGGUUUCUUCGCCCUGGAAAGCUUUUUAUCAGAUCCCUCUCCGCUAUCUUUAUUUCCCAUGCUUUUUUGGACCUCUUGGACUAUCC